UAUAAGCCUACCUGCGGUAUACUG
Molecule: non-coding RNA, 24 nt
Filed under: Arabidopsis thaliana (thale cress)
Lineage: Eukaryota; Viridiplantae; Streptophyta; Magnoliopsida; Brassicales; Brassicaceae
Source: RNAcentral